RNAcentral lists this small nuclear RNA (140 nucleotides) under Rhinolophus ferrumequinum (greater horseshoe bat). RNAcentral's name for it is "U2 spliceosomal RNA (ENSRFEG00010012362.1)". It matches the Rfam family "U2 spliceosomal RNA". From Rfam's summary of the family: U2 is a small nuclear RNA (snRNA) component of the spliceosome (involved in pre-mRNA splicing). Complementary binding between U2 snRNA (in an area lying towards the 5' end but 3' to hairpin I) and the branchpoint sequence (BPS) of the intron results the bulging out of an unpaired adenosine, on the BPS, which initiates a nucleophilic attack at the intronic 5' splice site, thus starting the first of two transesterification reactions that mediate splicing. The record is from Rfam by way of RNAcentral. Lineage: Eukaryota; Metazoa; Chordata; Mammalia; Chiroptera; Rhinolophidae.
AUCGCUUCUCGGCCUUUUGGCUAAGAUCAAGUGUAAAAUACUCUCCUAGUGAAUCAUUUUCCUUUAAAUUUUUUAAUAAUAUUUUUGAAAUAUAGAAGUAGCUGAAGUUUUCCACUAAAACAUUAUUUUUCUUUUUUUUU